UACGGGGGGGGCAAGUGUUGUUCGGAAUUACUGGGCGUAAAGGGCUCGUAGGCGGCCAACUAAGUCAGACGUGAAAUCCCUCGGCUUAACCGGGGAACUGCGUCUGAUACUGGAUGGCUUGAGUUUGGGAGAGGGAUGCGGAAUUCCAGGUGUAGCGGUGAAAUGCGUAGAUAUCUGGAGGAACACCGGUGGCGAAGGCGGCAUCCUGGACCAACACUGACGCUGAGGAGCGAAAGCCAGGGGAGCAAACGGG
This 253-nucleotide ribosomal RNA is filed under the name uncultured bacterium. Its description in RNAcentral is "partial 16S ribosomal RNA". It matches the Rfam family "Bacterial small subunit ribosomal RNA", at positions 524 to 776 of the family's 1533-position model. The record is from RNAcentral.